Molecule: transfer RNA, 64 nt
Filed under: Dipodomys ordii (Ord's kangaroo rat)
Lineage: Eukaryota; Metazoa; Chordata; Mammalia; Rodentia; Heteromyidae
Rfam family: tRNA
About the family: Transfer RNA (tRNA) molecules are approximately 80 nucleotides in length. Their secondary structure includes four short double-helical elements and three loops (D, anti-codon, and T loops).
Source: Rfam by way of RNAcentral
GGUGGUUCAGUGGUAGAGUGCUUGCCUUACAUGCAUGAGGCCGUGGGUUCGAUUCCUAGCACCA